This 1223-nucleotide long non-coding RNA is filed under the name Sus scrofa (pig). RNAcentral describes it as "lncRNA (ENSSSCG00030040730.1)". Lineage: Eukaryota; Metazoa; Chordata; Mammalia; Artiodactyla; Suidae. The record is from RNAcentral.
AUGUUGGCUGGGCCCUUUCCUGGAGCACCUCCAGGCUGGGAGCUCCCAUACCCCUCUGGCCUCACGGUCAGCCCAGCACAGGGAGGAGAACAGGAGCAAGGCCCAAGGGUCCCACUGGAUGUUGGACUGUGGCCCAGGGCAGGUGGGCAGCUGGUGCAGGCAGGAGGCACAGAGCCAACCAGGAAGGCGGGGAAGGGCUGGCGGCACCAUCCAAUCUCUGGGGCCAGUGCCCUCAUCCCAGCAGGAAGCACCCCACGCGCCUGUUCCCAGACCCCCGUUCCCAGGCCCAUGCCUCCCUCCCUCCCGCGGCGAGCUGAGCGGGAGCAUAGGCGGCAUUUGUGGGAAACCGGGACUCAGUGCGCAGAGAGGGAGUCAAUUUAUUCUGGAGAAAACAUCUUUGUUCUGCGAGUGAAGGGGAGCCAUUUCCAACAAUUUAAUGCUCUGUUCACGGGCCCGGGUGCUGGGGUUGCAGCACGAGGCUUGUUCUUCGAGGCAGAGCAGCACAUAAUGAGGCUUCUCACUGCCGCUCCCCGCCAUCCUGCCAAAAACCAGAACGGUUAUUUAUCCAUUAAUCUGACAUUACACCCCCUGCAUUUUAUCUGCUUAAAUAAAUUUGGUGGUUAGAGUGUGUGCCUGGCGGAGAAACUCCCGCAUUCAAUUUCCUAGGUGCCAACGUGUGCGUCAGGGCCAUUAUCAACUCGCCUCUGACACCCUGGGGCCUCGGCGGUCCCAGCUGGGAAAUGCAGAGGGCAGCAGCCAGGAUCCAGCCUCUCCCAGCUCAUUCAGUUCCAGGCCCCUGUUCUCCAGACACUGUCUGCCUGGGGUCCCCACCAUGCACCACAGUCCCUGAGUCCCAUGUUGGUGGCCUUUCUCCCAACAAGAUAAACCACCUCUUUCCACUAUCACCUUUGGGCCACAGGGAACAGCGGAAAAACCUAGGACCCUGCUGCCUGGGCUGGAAUCCUGGCUGGGCCACACACUAGCUAUGUGACCUGACUGUGAGAUGUCACUUCUCCUUUCUGUACCUCAUUUUCCUCAUCUCAUUCCCAGGGUUGUUGUGAGCAUUAAAAGAGGUCAUAUUUGUAAAGUGUUUAGAACAGUGCCUGGCGUAUAUAAAGUGCUCAGUAAAAGUUGGCUUAAUAGAUACAUACUUUUUAAAAUCUAGGGCAAGUGUUUGUACACAGGGCUUUGGAAAUAAACUAAACAACUGGGUCCUAAAUGCA